UGUGCAAGUUAGGUGGAGCGAUCCCCCUUGCACCAGGGUGUACGCGCGUCACCAAUAGACACAUACCUGCUCUAUAUCCUUACUGGCUCUUGGGUCUGAUUUCCGCACGUCAAGAGCUGCUUGUGUCCUGGGAGGAGAGCGAGCCGUUCCCUGUGUCUGUCAGAGGAGUGAAGGUGCCAAAAUGCCGGCCCAGCUGGGCAGGCAACGCGCUGCCAAAGAGAGGGGAAGGAGAACUCCCGUCCUGCUUCUAGUAGUCCUUUCUGGUGAGUGUUCCCCACCCAGGGCCGUCCCAGCAGAGCCGGGGAGCGGGACUGUCCCACACAGCGUGUGCCUGCUGGGUCUGGAAGAGGAAAAUGGGACUGCGGGGCUCAGAGCAGUUUGAGCAAACUAACUGUCUCUCCCGACUGAUGUCCCCCACAGCUGGAGCCUU
RNAcentral lists this long non-coding RNA (430 nucleotides) under Gallus gallus (chicken). Its description in RNAcentral is "lncRNA (ENSGALG00010000736.1)". The record is from RNAcentral. Lineage: Eukaryota; Metazoa; Chordata; Aves; Galliformes; Phasianidae.